RNAcentral lists this ribosomal RNA (497 nucleotides) under uncultured bacterium. RNAcentral describes it as "partial 16S ribosomal RNA". It matches the Rfam family "Bacterial small subunit ribosomal RNA", at positions 28 to 507 of the family's 1533-position model. The record is from RNAcentral.
GAUAAACGCUGGCGGCGUGCCUAAUACAUGCAAGUCGAGCGAACAGACGAGGAGCUUGCUCCUCUGACGUUAGCGGCGGACGGGUGAGUAACACGUGGAUAACCUACCUAUAAGACUGGGAUAACUUCGGGAAACCGGAGCUAAUACCGGAUAAUAUAUUGAACCGCAUGGUUCAAUAGUGAAAGACGGUUUUGCUGUCACUUAUAGAUGGAUCCGCGCCGCAUUAGCUAGUUGGUAAGGUAACGGCUUACCAAGGCAACGAUGCGUAGCCGACCUGAGAGGGUGAUCGGCCACACUGGAACUGAGACACGGUCCAGACUCCUACGGGAGGCAGCAGUAGGGAAUCUUCCGCAAUGGGCGAAAGCCUGACGGAGCAACGCCGCGUGAGUGAUGAAGGUCUUCGGAUCGUAAAACUCUGUUAUUAGGGAAGAACAAAUGUGUAAGUAACUAUGCACGUCUUGACGGUACCUAAUCAGAAAGCCACGGCUAACUACGUG